Molecule: ribosomal RNA, 1822 nt
Filed under: Escherichia coli
Lineage: Bacteria; Pseudomonadati; Pseudomonadota; Gammaproteobacteria; Enterobacterales; Enterobacteriaceae
Description: partial 23S ribosomal RNA
Rfam family: Bacterial large subunit ribosomal RNA
Source: RNAcentral
GUAUCCUGUCUGAAUAUGGGGGGACCAUCCUCCAAGGCUAAAUACUCCUGACUGACCGAUAGUGAACCAGUACCGUGAGGGAAAGGCGAAAAGAACCCCGGCGAGGGGAGUGAAAAAGAACCUGAAACCGUGUACGUACAAGCAGUGGGAGCACGCUUAGGCGUGUGACUGCGUACCUUUUGUAUAAUGGGUCAGCGACUUAUAUUCUGUAGCAAGGUUAACCGAAUAGGGGAGCCGAAGGGAAACCGAGUCUUAACUGGGCGUUAAGUUGCAGGGUAUAGACCCGAAACCCGGUGAUCUAGCCAUGGGCAGGUUGAAGGUUGGGUAACACUAACUGGAGGACCGAACCGACUAAUGUUGAAAAAUUAGCGGAUGACUUGUGGCUGGGGGUGAAAGGCCAAUCAAACCGGGAGAUAGCUGGUUCUCCCCGAAAGCUAUUUAGGUAGCGCCUCGUGAAUUCAUCUCCGGGGGUAGAGCACUGUUUCGGCAAGGGGGUCAUCCCGACUUACCAACCCGAUGCAAACUGCGAAUACCGGAGAAUGUUAUCACGGGAGACACACGGCGGGUGCUAACGUCCGUCGUGAAGAGGGAAACAACCCAGACCGCCAGCUAAGGUCCCAAAGUCAUGGUUAAGUGGGAAACGAUGUGGGAAGGCCCAGACAGCCAGGAUGUUGGCUUAGAAGCAGCCAUCAUUUAAAGAAAGCGUAAUAGCUCACUGGUCGAGUCGGCCUGCGCGGAAGAUGUAACGGGGCUAAACCAUGCACCGAAGCUGCGGCAGCGACGCUGAUGCGUUGUUGGGUAGGGGAGCGUUCUGUAAGCCUGUGAAGGUGUGCUGUGAGGCAUGCUGGAGGUAUCAGAAGUGCGAAUGCUGACAUAAGUAACGAUAAAGCGGGUGAAAAGCCCGCUCGCCGGAAGACCAAGGGUUCCUGUCCAACGUUAAUCGGGGCAGGGUGAGUCGACCCCUAAGGCGAGGCCGAAAGGCGUAGUCGAUGGGAAACAGGUUAAUAUUCCUGUACUUGGUGUUACUGCGAAGGGGGGACGGAGAAGGCUAUGUUGGCCGGGCGACGGUUGUCCCGGUUUAAGCGUGUAGGCUGGUUUUCCAGGCAAAUCCGGAAAAUCAAGGCUGAGGCGUGAUGACGAGGCACUACGGUGCUGAAGCAACAAAUGCCCUGCUUCCAGGAAAAGCCUCUAAGCAUCAGGUAACAUCAAAUCGUACCCCAAACCGACACAGGUGGUCAGGUAGAGAAUACCAAGGCGCUUGAGAGAACUCGGGUGAAGGAACUAGGCAAAAUGGUGCCGUAACUUCGGGAGAAGGCACGCUGAUAUGUAGGUGAAGCGACUUGCUCGUGGAGCUGAAAUCAGUCGAAGAUACCAGCUGGCUGCAACUGUUUAUUAAAAACACAGCACUGUGCAAACACGAAAGUGGACGUAUACGGUGUGACGCCUGCCCGGUGCCGGAAGGUUAAUUGAUGGGGUCAGCGCAAGCGAAGCUCUUGAUCGAAGCCCCGGUAAACGGCGGCCGUAACUAUAACGGUCCUAAGGUAGCGAAAUUCCUUGUCGGGUAAGUUCCGACCUGCACGAAUGGCGUAAUGAUGGCCAGGCUGUCUCCACCCGAGACUCAGUGAAAUUGAACUCGCUGUGAAGAUGCAGUGUACCCGCGGCAAGACGGAAAGACCCCGUGAACCUUUACUAUAGCUUGACACUGAACAUUGAGCCUUGAUGUGUAGGAUAGGUGGGAGGCUUUGAAGUGUGGACGCCAGUCUGCAUGGAGCCGGCCUUGAAAUACCACCCUUUAAUGUUUGAUGUUCUAACGUUGACCCGU